Molecule: ribosomal RNA, 468 nt
Filed under: uncultured bacterium
Lineage: Bacteria
Description: partial 16S ribosomal RNA
Rfam family: Bacterial small subunit ribosomal RNA
Source: RNAcentral
GACGAACGCUGGCGGCGUGCUUAACACAUGCAAGUCGAACGGAAAGGCCCUGCUUUUGUGGGGUGCUCGAGUGGCGAACGGGUGAGUAACACGUGAGUAACCUGCCCUUGACUUUGGGAUAACUUCAGGAAACUGGGGCUAAUACCGGAUAGGAGCUCCUGCUGCAUGGUGGGGGUUGGAAAGUUUCGGCGGUUGGGGAUGGACUCGCGGCUUAUCAGCUUGUUGGUGGGGUAGUGGCUUACCAAGGCUUUGACGGGUAGCCGGCCUGAGAGGGUGACCGGCCACGUUGGGACUGAGAUACGGCCCAGACUCCUACGGGAGGCAGCAGUGGGGAAUAUUGCACAAUGGGCGGAAGCCUGAUGCAGCAACGCCGCGUGCGGGAUGACGGCCUUCGGGGUGUAAACCGCUUUCGCCUGUGACGAAGCGUGAGUGACGGUAAUGGGUAAAGAAGCACCGGCUAACUACGUG